RNAcentral lists this ribosomal RNA (329 nucleotides) under uncultured eukaryote. RNAcentral describes it as "partial 18S ribosomal RNA". It matches the Rfam family "Eukaryotic small subunit ribosomal RNA", at positions 1470 to 1796 of the family's 1831-position model. The record is from RNAcentral.
CCCUUAGAUGUUCUGGGCCGCACGCGCGCUACACUGAUGCAUUCAACGAGUCUAGAACCUGCUCUGAUAGGGGUGGGUAAUCUUUUGAAUGUGCAUCGUGAUUGGGAUAGAUGAUUGCAAUUUUUCAUCUUCAACGAGGAAUGCCUAGUAAACGCAAGUCAUCAGCUUGCAUUGAUUACGUCCCUGCCCUUUGUACACACCGCCCGUCGCUCCUACCGAUUGAAUGAUCCGAUGAAUAUCAUGGAUUGAGGAUGCAAGUAGGUUAGCCUAUCUUCAUCUUCGAGAAGUGAAGUAAAUCUUAUCAUUUAGAGGAAGGAGAAGUCGUAACA